RNAcentral lists this ribosomal RNA (301 nucleotides) under uncultured bacterium. RNAcentral describes it as "partial 16S ribosomal RNA". It matches the Rfam family "Bacterial small subunit ribosomal RNA", at positions 509 to 807 of the family's 1533-position model. The record is from RNAcentral.
CAGCAGCCGCGGUAAUGCGUAGGGGGCAAGCGUUAUCCGGAAUUACUGGGUGUAAAGGGAGCGUAGACGGUUAAACAAGUCUGAAGUGAAAUGCCGGGGCUCAACCCCGGAGCUGCUUUGGGAACUGUAGAACUGGAGUGUCGGAGGGGUAAGCGGAAUUCCCAGUGUAGCGGUGAAAUGCGUAGAUAUUGGGAGGAACACCGGCGGCGAAGGCGGCUUACUGGACGACAACUGACGUUGAGGCUCGAAGGCGUGGGUAGCAAACAGGAUUAGAUACCCCCGUAGUCCCUGUCUCUUAUAC